RNAcentral lists this unclassified non-coding RNA (253 nucleotides) under uncultured Gammaproteobacteria bacterium. Its description in RNAcentral is "contains 16S-23S intergenic spacer region". It matches the Rfam family "Bacterial small subunit ribosomal RNA", at positions 524 to 776 of the family's 1533-position model. The record is from RNAcentral. Lineage: Bacteria; Pseudomonadati; Pseudomonadota; Gammaproteobacteria.
UACAGAGGGUGCAAGCGUUAAUCGGAAUUACUGGGCGUAAAGCGCACGUAGGCGGACAUUUAAGUCAGAUGUGAAAUCCUUGGGCUCAACCUGAGAAUUGCACCUGAGACUGGAUGUCUAGAGUAUGGUAGAGGAAAGUGGAACUCCCGGUGUAGCGGUGAAAUGCGUAGAUAUCGGGAAGAACACCAGUGGCGAAGGCGGCUUACUGGACCAAAACUGACGCUGAGGUACGAAAGCGUGGGUAGCAAACAGG